This 216-nucleotide small nucleolar RNA is filed under the name Oncorhynchus tshawytscha (Chinook salmon). RNAcentral's name for it is "Small nucleolar RNA SNORA73 family". It matches the Rfam family "Small nucleolar RNA SNORA73 family". From Rfam's summary of the family: U17 (SNORA73A and SNORA73B) also known as E1 belongs to the H/ACA class of small nucleolar RNAs (snoRNAs). The record is from Rfam by way of RNAcentral. Lineage: Eukaryota; Metazoa; Chordata; Actinopteri; Salmoniformes; Salmonidae.
CCAACGUGGACAUCGGUGAGGUUGCUCUCACAUGGCUCUGUCCUUGUGCGUAUGGGAGCGUAGUACUUCACAGUGCUGUGACGUACAGUCCCGUCACGACUGGGGAGCAAGCUUUGUCCCUGGCCUUCGGGCUGGUGAGGACGGCGUUCUGUAUAUUCCUACCCUCCAGAGCCCUUUGGGCCAUGACUGGGGGGCUAAACCAUGCAGUGUACAACU